This 346-nucleotide ribosomal RNA is filed under the name Oligotoma saundersii. RNAcentral's name for it is "eukaryotic LSU rRNA". It matches the Rfam family "Eukaryotic large subunit ribosomal RNA", at positions 646 to 964 of the family's 3401-position model. Lineage: Eukaryota; Metazoa; Arthropoda; Insecta; Embioptera; Oligotomidae. The record is from RNAcentral.
GACCCGUCUUGAACCACGGAGUCUAACAUGUGCGCGAGUCAUUGGGUUCGRYAGCGAAACCCAGAGGCACAGUGAAAGUGAAGGCUGCUCUAGGGUAGCCGAGGGAGGAUGGAGCAGGCAUUGUCCGGCUUCCGCACUCCCGGGGCGUCUCACCCUCAUUGCGAGGAGAGACGCACCUAGAGCGUACACGUUGGGACCCGAAAGAUGGUGAACUAUGCCUGGCCAGGACGAAGUCAGGGGAAACCCUGAUGGAGGUCCGUAGCGAUUCUGACGUGCAAAUCGAUCGUCAGAGCUGGGUAUAGGGGCGAAAGACUAAUCGAACCAUCUAGUAGCUGGUUCCUUCCGA